GACGAACGCUGGCGGCGUGCCUAAUACAUGCAAGUUGAGCGCUGAAGGUUGGUACUUGUACCAACUGGAUGAGCAGCGAACGGGUGAGUAACGCGUGGGGAAUCUGCCUUUGAUCGGGGGACAACAUUUGGAAACGACUGCUAAUACCGCAUAAAAACUUUAAACACAAGUUUCAAGUUUGAAAGAUGCAAUUGCCUCACUCAAAGAUGAUCCCGCGUUGGAUUAGCUAGUUGGUGGGGUAAAGGCGCACCAAGGCGAUGGUACAUAGCCGACCGGGGAGGGGGGUCGGGCGCAUUGGGACGGGGGAACGGCCCAAGCUCCUACGGGGGGGAGCAGGAGGGGAUCGUCGGCAAGGGGCGAAAGUCUGGCCGAGGAACGCCGGGGGAGUGAAGAAGGGUGUCGGGUCGGAAAAGGCUGUUGGUAGGGAAGGAAGUGGGGGAGAGUGGAAAGCUCAUGAAGUGACGGUAACUACACAGAAAGGGACGGCUAACUACGUG
Molecule: ribosomal RNA, 497 nt
Filed under: uncultured bacterium
Lineage: Bacteria
Description: partial 16S ribosomal RNA
Rfam family: Bacterial small subunit ribosomal RNA
Source: RNAcentral